RNAcentral lists this ribosomal RNA (1174 nucleotides) under uncultured delta proteobacterium. RNAcentral's name for it is "bacterial SSU rRNA". It matches the Rfam family "Bacterial small subunit ribosomal RNA", at positions 8 to 1148 of the family's 1533-position model. Lineage: Bacteria; Deltaproteobacteria. The record is from RNAcentral.
AGAGUUUGAUCCUGGCUCAGCAACACAACGCUGGCGGCGUACUUAACACAUGCAAUGUCGAACGAGAAAGGGAGCUUUGGCUCCUGAGUAAAGUGGCGAACGGGUGCGUAACACGUAAGUAAUCUACCUUAGACUCUGGAAUAACUCUCCGAAAGGGGGGCUAAAGGCUGGAUACGGUCCUCGAAGUGUAGUCGCGAGGGGAGAGCAGGCCUCUAUUAUAAGCUUGCGGUCUAGAUGAGCUUGCGUCCCAUUAGUUUGUUGGUGAGGUAACGGCUCCCUAGACGACGAUGGGUAGCUGGUCUGAGAGGAUGAUCGUGUCACGACUGGCACUGAGACACGGGCCAGACUCCUACGGGAGGCAUGCAGUGGGGAAUUUUGCCCAUGGGCGAAAGCCUGACGCAGUACGCCGCGUGGAGGACGAAGGCCUUCGGGUUGUAAACUCCUGUCAGAGGGGAAGAAGAACUUGAGCCUAGAAUACAUUUUCGAGUUCUGACGGUACCCUCAAAGGAAGCCCCGGCUAAUUCCGUGCCAGCAGCCGCGGUAAUACGGAAGGGGCUAGCGUUGUUCGGAAUCAUUGGGCGUAAAGGGCGCGUAGGUGGUCUUGUAUGUCCGUCGUGAAAGUGCACGGCUCAACCGUGUUUGGUCGGCGGAAACUGCAAGACUUGAGGCUGGGAGGGGCUGGAGGAAUUCCCUGUGUAGCGGUGAAAUGCGUAGAGAUAGGGGAGAACACUCGUGGCGAAGGCGUCCAGCUGGACCAGUCCUGACACUGAGGCGCGAAAGCGUGGGUAGCAAACAGGAUUAGAUACCCUGGUAGUCCACGCCGUAAACGAUGGGCACUAGGUGCCGGCGGUAUUGAUCCCGUCGGUGCCGGCGCUAACGCAGUAAGUGCCCCGCCUGGGGAGUACAGUCGCAAGGCUGAAACUCAAAGGAAUUGACGGGGGCCCGCACAAGCGGUGGAGCAUGUGGUUUAAUUCGAUGCAACGCGAAGAACCUUACCUGCCCUUGACAUCCUCGGAACCGCUCAGAGAUGAACGGGUGCCUUCGGGAGCCGAGAGACAGGUGANGCAUGGCCNUCGUCAGCUCAGGCUCGNGAGAUGGUUGGGCUAAGUCCCGUCAACGAGCGCAACCCUUGUCCCUAGUUCGCCAGCGGUUCGGCCGGGAACUCUUAGGGAGA